Musa acuminata AAA Group (dessert banana) is the source of this 675-nucleotide long non-coding RNA. RefSeq lists it as uncharacterized. The record is from RefSeq and is a predicted model, not a curated record. The transcript is spliced from 4 exons. NCBI's taxonomy places the organism in Eukaryota, Viridiplantae, Streptophyta, Magnoliopsida, Zingiberales, Musaceae.
GCUUCGGGGAACCUAUUUCUCGUUCCAAUUAUGGCCUGAUUCCCAACUUAUAGCACGCCGCCGGCCUCCUCCGUCAAACCCUCCAAACAGCCGAGGCACCAGCCGCCGCUCCAGCCACCUCCGAGCAUCCUCUACCAGUCUCUCCUCACCAUCGAUCUUCCUCCGUCGCUCCCGAGCGUGUUAUCGUCGACUCCCACCGCCGAUUUUUAGGUUUGAGCACCCAUAGCUUAUUUCAUUAUGGCAAGUGAAGACUCUAAAGACUUGCUGAAGAAUGUGGAUUGGAAGACAGUGGGCAAUGCUGUCAAUAGUGAUUCACUUGGACCAGUCACUAAAAAGCGGCUUCCUAAGAAAAUUAGAGAAGUCCCUGACUAUUAUUUUCUUCCACGAAGGUCAUUACCUUCUUCUAUUGCAAUUUUUGGAGCUAUCUGUGCAGCUGGAGUUGGAGCAGGAAUGCUGCUGGAGGUUUGGAUUAACAAAAAGAUUAAAGAGGAUGGUGGAGUCCUUUGGGAGAGGGACAAAUUCUGAAAGCAAUUACUCAGAUAUACAAAGGAAAGCAGUUAUAUCAUCGAUCGUAGCAGGAAAGAUUACCAGCAUUACAAUGAGCAAUUAGCUCUCAAGCUUUCCUGUCCGGUUGCAGCAGAAUCCCUACAUGCAUGGGUAAGCCGUCUUGUCUUU